UUUUUUUCUUUUUUUCUUUUUUUUUUUAACUUUAAAUACCAUUCACCUCAUUUCGCUUUUUUUUUUUAUUUUAAGAUUCUAUAAUUCAAAGUGUAUUAUUUUUGGACUCUAUAAUUUUAUUUUAUUUUUAUUAUUCUAUUUGUUAUUUUUUUUAUUAAAUAAGUGAUGAUAAAGUUAAAACUAAAAUAUACUAAAAUGAAUAUUCGGUAAACUAUAGGCAAGAUAUAUAUUUCAAGUUUUUUAUAUAUAAUUUAAUAAAAAAAGUUAACAAAAUAACUAACGAAAAUAGAAAAAUAAAAACACUGGAUACUAAAUUGAUAUACUUUAAACUACAUAAUACUAAAAUGAGAAAGUGCAAAACCAUAGAAGUGAUAUUUGAAGUUUUUUUUUUCUUCCUAUUUUUUCUAUUUUCUUACAUUA
This 420-nucleotide long non-coding RNA is filed under the name Ananas comosus (pineapple). RNAcentral describes it as "long non-coding RNA (ACOM_LNC032136)". The record is from RNAcentral. Lineage: Eukaryota; Viridiplantae; Streptophyta; Magnoliopsida; Poales; Bromeliaceae.